Molecule: RNA transcript, 1652 nt
Organism: Triticum dicoccoides
Lineage: Eukaryota; Viridiplantae; Streptophyta; Magnoliopsida; Poales; Poaceae
Gene name: calcium-dependent protein kinase 20-like
Exons: 2
Source: RefSeq, a predicted model, not a curated record
UCAAUUGUGUAAUAUGAAGAGAAAUCAUGGUGCUUUUCCUUUCGUCGUGUACAAAAUUGUUUCCCGUUCAUUACUUAAUUUGUAGAUGAAUAAUAGGGUACUUAUUAUUUGCGUGCAUGGAUUUCAUUCAAAUAGAAUUUUCAAAGACAAAUUAAAUGCCAUACCUUACUAAACUCAGAUUAGCGCAUCCAGCAGAGAAAAGUUGUGUACUUAUUCCUAACAGUACCAAAUAAUUUAAAUUUUGAAUGGUUUUCGUCAGCAACUAUUGUGAGUUGUCUUUGCAAUUCCACAUAGUAAUCUUAUAUUUACUAAUUGGAGGCACCAUCCGAGAUACCACGUUAAUCCUAGAAACUAAUCAAAAUUAUCCGUUGGAUAUCCCCAUUGGUUUUCUACAACCGUGGGAUUGUAUCUGGCAAGAAGUCCAUGCACUUUAUACCACCUGCCACGUCAAAUCCUCAUCUAUAGGCUGCAAAAGUGGAAAAGAAAAAAGAAAGGUAUGUACAACCAUAAGAUGAAGAUGCUCAGGAUUCCUUGCAAAAUAUUUAGUCUGGCUGCGGCUGGCACUGAUGCCCUCUUGCCAAAAACAGUAGUAACAAUAGCACACACCUCAGGUAAUUUGUCCUCCUCAACCGAUGUUCAAUUGUGUCUCUGAAGCUUUUUAUGGGUACAAAUCAGGAACAGUACAUACUACGUGAAGGUGGUGCAGAGUUUUGUUAAGGUGGUGCAGAGUUGGAGACCUUAUGGCUCUGUAAACAUUUUGUGUAGCGAUCAUGUGCUAGACUAAUAAUUUUUAAGGUGACAACAUUGUGCAUCAGAUAUUUUUCAUUCUCAUUAUGAUACUUGAUGUGUGGUUGAUUGUUGGGCUAAAUGUUUUAAUGACCUGAAUUGGUUACAAGUGCACCACAUUUUGCUUUUAAUAUCUUAAUCAUAUUUCAAACCGAUAUCUUACAGUUGGCCACUUAUACCUCUGCACAUAUGCAUGCAUCGUAGUGUAUAGUGUUAUCAUCCAACCUGAGGGAAAAUGAAAAAAUGUUGUAAUAAUACGAGUAUGCAUACAUAUGUAUAAUUAACAACCUGAGGGAAAUUUAUACUCAACAAGGUUCGAAUUUAGUUCUCGAUCUUCUGUAUGUAUCUUAGUAAAUUGGUCGCUACUUGCAGGAAAAUGUGUCGGACGAAAAAGUUAAUAAUGCAUCAGUACAGCUUACAUCAUCAGUGGAUUUACAGUUCAAACUUCUGUGAGGGGCUGUGCUGCUGUCUGCCCAUGUCCCGAAGUGCAUUUGCUAGGAGAUAUUUAUCCUUUCUAUUUUACUUGAUCCAGUAUGCAUCCAUCCUGAUAGAUGAUAGAUCUGCCAUAUGCAUGAAGUGGAUGCACCGGGACCUCAAACCAGAGAAUUUCUUGUUUGCAAACUGGAAAGAAACGGCUGCACUGAAAGCAAUUGAUUUUGGCCUGUUUGUUUUGUUUUUCACUCCAAGUAGAGUCAAUCCUAAUAUCCUAUAUGGCUAUCGUUGAAGCUUUCCAUUUUGACCCGUCUGUCACUUGUCUAUGAUAUGGUCAGAGGACAAAGCUGAGCUGAUACAGUAGCCUGUCUUAUGCUAUAUUUAGUUUUUGUUUUGACCUUGUGAAACUUGCUACCUAUGGAUGAAACUGUGUA